This 449-nucleotide ribosomal RNA is filed under the name uncultured bacterium. RNAcentral's name for it is "partial 16S ribosomal RNA". It matches the Rfam family "Bacterial small subunit ribosomal RNA", at positions 29 to 523 of the family's 1533-position model. The record is from RNAcentral.
AACGAACGCUGGCGGCAUGCCUAACACAUGCAAGUCGAACGAGAUCUUCGUGUCUAGUGGCGCACGGGUGCGUAACGCGUGGGAAUCUGCCCUUUGGUUGGGAAUAACAGUUGGAAACGACUGCUAAUACCGGAUGAUGACGGAAGUCCAAAGAUUUAUCGCCAGAGGAUGGGCCCGCGUAGGAUUAGCUAGUUGGUGGGGUAAAGGCGCACCAAGGUGACGAUCCUUAGCUGGUCUGAGAGGAUGAUCAGCCACACUGGGACUGAGACACGGCCCAGAGUCCUACGGGAGGCAGCAGUGGGGAAUAUUGGACAAUGGGCGAAAGGAUGAUCCAGCAAUGCCGCGUGAGUGAUGAAGGCCUUAGGGUUGUAAAGCUCUUUUACCCGGGAUGAUAAUGACAGUACCGGGAGAAUAAGCUCCGGCUAACUCCGUGCCAGCCGCCGCCGUAA